CCGGGAUAGCUCAGUUGGUAGAGCAGGGGACUGAAAA
RNAcentral lists this transfer RNA (37 nucleotides) under Lepidolejeunea eluta. RNAcentral describes it as "partial tRNA-Phe". The record is from RNAcentral. Lineage: Eukaryota; Viridiplantae; Streptophyta; Jungermanniopsida; Porellales; Lejeuneaceae.